AGGGUUUGAUCAUGGCUCAGGAUGAACGCUAGCGGCAGGCUUAACACAUGCAAGUCGAGGGGUAUAGUUCUUCGGAGCUAGAGACCGGCGCACGGGUGCGUAACGCGUAUGCAAUCUACCUUUUACAGAGGGAUAGCCCAGAGAAAUUUGGAUUAAUACCUCAUAGUAUGUGAGAAUCGCAUGGUUUUCACAUUAAAGUCACAACGGUAAAAGAUGAGCAUGCGUCCCAUUAGCUUGUUGGUAAGGUAACGGCUUACCAAGGCAACGAUGGGUAGGGGUCCUGAGAGGGAGAUCCCCCACACUGGUACUGAGACACGGACCAGACUCCUACGGGAGGCAGCAGUGAGGAAUAUUGGACAAUGGGCGCAAGCCUGAUCCAGCCAUGCCGCGUGCAGGAUGACGGUCCUAUGGAUUGUAAACUGCUUUUGUACAGGAAGAAACACUCCCUCGUGAGGGAGCUUGACGGUACUGUAAGAAUAAGGAUCGGCUAACUCCGUGCCAGCUGCCGCGGUAAUACGGAGGAUCCAGCGUUAUCCGGAAUCCUUGGGUUUAAAGGGUCC
This 560-nucleotide ribosomal RNA is filed under the name uncultured Flavobacteriia bacterium. Its description in RNAcentral is "bacterial SSU rRNA". It matches the Rfam family "Bacterial small subunit ribosomal RNA", at positions 8 to 570 of the family's 1533-position model. The record is from RNAcentral. Lineage: Bacteria; Pseudomonadati; Bacteroidota; Flavobacteriia.